RNAcentral lists this small nucleolar RNA (138 nucleotides) under Drosophila virilis. RNAcentral's name for it is "snoRNA:GJ25524". Lineage: Eukaryota; Metazoa; Arthropoda; Insecta; Diptera; Drosophilidae. The record is from RNAcentral.
GCAUAUUAUUAGAACUGGUUAUUAAUUACUUUGUGUUAUAAUCGGUGUCAAAAUUAUGCAAAAUGAAACGCCACAUUUUACUUGUCUUUAACUUUUCGCAAAACUCGAUUUUUAAAGAUUUCUAAUGUUGCGACAAUA